GGACUACCAGGGUUUCUAAUCCUGUUUGAUCCCCACGCUUUCGUGCCUCAGUGUCAAUACCACCAUAGUAAGCUGCCUUCGCAAUUGGUGUUCUGUGACAUAUCUAUGCAUUUCACCGCUACUUGUCACAUUCCGCCUACCUCUAGUGGAUUCAAGCUCUUCAGUAUCAAGGGCACUGCGACAGUUAAGCUGCCGUCUUUCACCCCUGACUUAAAAAGCCACCUACGCACCCUUUAAACCCAAUAAAUCCGGAUAACGCUUGGAUCCUCCGUAUUACCGCGGCGGCUGGCAC
This 292-nucleotide ribosomal RNA is filed under the name uncultured bacterium. RNAcentral describes it as "partial 16S ribosomal RNA". The record is from RNAcentral. RNAcentral also lists the same sequence under 1 other name.